This 1087-nucleotide long non-coding RNA is filed under the name Chrysemys picta bellii (western painted turtle). RNAcentral describes it as "lncRNA (ENSCPBG00000009082.1)". The record is from RNAcentral. Lineage: Eukaryota; Metazoa; Chordata; Testudines; Emydidae.
AGUGAGUUAUAAAGAGAAGGGAUCUCAAUUUAAACCAGAAAUGACUAAAAUACAUCUUUGACUGGAUCUAUGAAUAAAUCUAUGACUGGGUUUGGACAGUACUUGCUUUUUAGGCAAAACAAUGAAUGAUGCAAUCUGAAGCUGGUAUUGCAUCAUACGUGAUAUGAAUUGCAUCAUGUUAUUCCUAGAAGUCAUGGAUGAUGCAAUCAUAAUGAAGCUUACAUCACUCUGCUGAACAAAUUGCCCUAUAUCAGCUCUAGAAAUCAUACAGUGUUGUGCUCUCUUAUUUGUCAGUGUUUGAUUUUGUAAAGGAACACAUUUCUGUUUAGCCAAAGUGAGCAGAGAUGCCUCGUACUUGUGUGAACAGUGCAGAUAACUUCUGCUAUGUUUGUGGUGAAGUGACUUUUGCAUCACAAAAGAAAGCCUAUCACCUUUAUUCUGGCUGCAAAAUUGGAGAUCAGGACAAGAGGUGGGCCCCACACAUAUGUUGUAACACUUGUGCAACAAAUCUUCGCCAGUGGUUGAACAGGAAAAGAAAAUCUAUGGCUUUUGCAGUACCAAUGAUUUGGAGAGAGCCAACAGAUCAUACCAGCAAUUGUUACUUCUGCAUGGUGCCUCCAGUUGGGAAAGGUGUGUCAAAGAAGAAAAAGUGGACUGUGCAUUAUCCAAACAUUCCAUCAGCUAUACACACAGUACCCCACGGAGAAGGACUGCCAGUUCCUGAUGCACCAGAAUCAUUCUCAUUUGAGUCAGACAAGGAAGAGGAAGAGGAUGAAACUUCUGGUCCUGAACCAUCAAUGUCACAGGAUCCACAUUUUCUCCCAUCCUCCUCCUCUGAACCACACCUCAUAACACAAGGUGAACUGAAUGACCUUGUCAGGGAUUUGGAACUACCCAAGAGUAAGGCAGAGCUGUUGGGCUCCAGACUACAGCAGUGGAAUCUCCUGGCAGGUGAUGUUAGGGUUUCCAUGUUCCGUGACCGUCAAAAGGAUCUUGUCCCAUUCUUCUUCAUGGAAGGUGAUCUUGUAGCCUGCAACAACAUCGAUGGUGUAAUGGCAGCCCUCAACAUCGUUCACGAGCCAGAUGA